RNAcentral lists this long non-coding RNA (421 nucleotides) under Olea europaea (common olive). Its description in RNAcentral is "long non-coding RNA (OEUR_LNC006337)". Lineage: Eukaryota; Viridiplantae; Streptophyta; Magnoliopsida; Lamiales; Oleaceae. The record is from RNAcentral.
GGGCCAGAGAACAUUUCCUAUACCUCCCAUACCAAAGGUGACAUCAAAGUAAAUAUAAGGCGGACGGACUAAACAGUCCAUUUUCGGAUCAGAUAGAUCGUCAGAAUGCCAAGAAAUGGCAGCAAAUUGGUUUCGAAUAAGAAAAUGAGGAGAUGAAGAUAGAGGAUGAAAAAUGCUAAACAUUUAUAAGGGGGUGAAGAUGAAGAGACAGAAUAUGAACAGCCACAUUUCUGUCUAAUAGACGGAAUUAAAUGGCCCUAAGUCUCGGGAACAGUAAUGGGAAUAUCAAAAGGGAACGGACAAAAUUCUUAAUGCAAAGCAGUUAAAUGCUUGAAGAAUUGAUGAUUAGAAAAUAAACAUCAAAUAAAUGCACAAGAAAUUAAUGUUCAUUAAUAAGGGACAAAAGUACAAAAAAGAAAAG